This 447-nucleotide ribosomal RNA is filed under the name uncultured bacterium. RNAcentral's name for it is "bacterial SSU rRNA". It matches the Rfam family "Bacterial small subunit ribosomal RNA", at positions 330 to 794 of the family's 1533-position model. The record is from RNAcentral.
ACCAGACUCCUACGGGAGGCAGCAGUGGGGGAUAUUGCACAAUGGGGGGAACCCUGAUGCAGCGACGCCGCGUGGGUGAAGAAGCGCCUCGGCGCGUAAAGCCCUGUCAGCAGGGAAGAAAAUGACGGUACCUGAAGAAGAAGCCCCGGCUAACUACGUGCCAGCAGCCGCGGUAAUACGUAGGGGGCAAGCGUUAUCCGGAUUUACUGGGUGUAAAGGGGGCGCAGACGGCGAUGCAAGCCAGGAGUGAAAGCCCGGGGCCCAACCCCGGGACUGCUCUUGGAACUGCGUGGCUGGAGUGCAGGAGGGGCAGGCGGAAUUCCUGGUGUAGCGGUGAAAUGCGUAGAUAUCAGGAGGAACACCGGUGGCGAAGGCGGCCUGCUGGACUGCAACUGACGUUGAGGCCCGAAAGCGUGGGGAGCAAACAGGAUUAGAUACCCCCGUAAC